GCUUCCAUGGCUCAGCUGGUAGAGCGACGCAUUCGUAAUGCGUAGGUCAGGGGUUCAAAUCCCCUUGGGAGCU
This 73-nucleotide transfer RNA is filed under the name Clostridia bacterium. RNAcentral's name for it is "tRNA-Thr". It matches the Rfam family "tRNA". From Rfam's summary of the family: Transfer RNA (tRNA) molecules are approximately 80 nucleotides in length. Their secondary structure includes four short double-helical elements and three loops (D, anti-codon, and T loops). The record is from RNAcentral. Lineage: Bacteria; Bacillati; Bacillota; Clostridia.